CAGUCGAGCGGAGACGACAGCAUUGACCCUUCGGGUGAUUUGUUGGGCGUCGAGCGGCGGACGGGUGAGUAAUGCCUGGGAAAUUGCCCUGAUGUGGGGGAUAACCAUUGGAAACGAUGGCUAAUACCGCAUAACGUCUACGGACCAAAGAGGGGGACCUUCGGGCCUCUCGCUUCAGGAUAUGCCCAGGUGGGAUUAGCUAGUUGGUGAGGUAAUGGCUCACCAAGGCGACGAUCCCUAGCUGGUCUGAGAGGAUGAUCAGCCACACUGGAACUGAGACACGGUCCAGACUCCUACGGGAGGCAGCAGUGGGGAAUAUUGCACAAUGGGCGCAAGCCUGAUGCAGCCAUGCCGCGUGUAUGAAGAAGGCCUUCGGGUUGUAAAGUACUUUCAGUCGUGAGGAAGGCGUUGAAGUUAAUAGCUUUAUCGUUUGACGUUAGCGACAGAAGAAGCACCGGCUAACUCCGUGCCAGCAGCCGCGGUAAUACGGAGGGUGCGAGCGUUAAUCGGAAUUACUGGGCGUAAAGCGCAUGCAGGUGGUUUGUUAAGUCAGAUGUGAAAGCCCGGGGCUCAACCUCGGAACCGCAUUUGAAACUGGCAGGCUAGAGUACUGUAGAGGGGGGUAGAAUUUCAGGUGUAGCGGUGAAAUGCGUAGAGAUCUGAAGGAAUACCAGUGGCGAAGGCGGCCCCCUGGACAGAUACUGACACUCAGAUGCGAAAGCGU
This 724-nucleotide ribosomal RNA is filed under the name Vibrio sp. RNAcentral describes it as "bacterial SSU rRNA". It matches the Rfam family "Bacterial small subunit ribosomal RNA", at positions 59 to 762 of the family's 1533-position model. Lineage: Bacteria; Pseudomonadati; Pseudomonadota; Gammaproteobacteria; Vibrionales; Vibrionaceae. The record is from RNAcentral.